Molecule: transfer RNA, 71 nt
Filed under: Ichthyophis bannanicus
Lineage: Eukaryota; Metazoa; Chordata; Amphibia; Gymnophiona; Ichthyophiidae
Description: tRNA-Lys
Source: RNAcentral
CACUAAGAAGCUAACACGGACAGCACUAGCCUUUUAAGCUAGCACGGGUGGCCACCAAUCACCCUUAGUGA